GUCGGGAUAGCUCAGCUGGUAGAGCAAAGACUGAAAU
Molecule: transfer RNA, 37 nt
Filed under: Maclura tinctoria subsp. mora
Lineage: Eukaryota; Viridiplantae; Streptophyta; Magnoliopsida; Rosales; Moraceae
Description: partial tRNA-Phe
Source: RNAcentral